UACGUCCAUAUCACGUUGAAACACCGGUUCUCAUCUGAUCGCCGAAGUUAAACAGCAUCAAGCCUGGACACUAACAAGAUGGGUGACCAUUUAGGAAUUCCAGGUACUGUAAG
This is a non-coding RNA of Acanthosepion pharaonis, 113 nucleotides long. The record is from the annotation of a GenBank genome assembly. Lineage: Eukaryota; Metazoa; Mollusca; Cephalopoda; Sepiida; Sepiidae.